GAGAACGGCGUCCCUCUGGAGUGACAGAGGGAUACACCAAUAAGAGACGGAGACAGCUCCGAGGUGGCCCAAUCAGAAAUCGGGAAAGGUGAAGGGCCUGUGCGCAAUCCGAAAGAGGCGAGGUUCUGAUGGAUCGGCAGCGCUUUGGACCAAUGAAAGUCGACAACAGCUUCUAUCUGUCGGCGAUGUAAGCGAGAAGAGAGGAUGAAAAGUUAGGCGGAGUUUAAGGUGACUGGCAGGUGGAUGGACAAUUUGUGUAUUGUCCAAUCAGCACUUCACACACAGGGAAACGGGAGACGGAGGCGGGAUUUGGCGUGUAUGUGGAAGAGUGAGUACAACGAGAGGAAUUACAACUUCCUGAUUGACACUGGAGGGGAAAGACCUAUACCUUUUUCAGAACAAUUAUCUUGAGUUUUGAGUAUAGAUAUGGCCUCAAAAUCAUUUUCUCAAAACAAUUUAAAUGGAAACAGCCUCUUUCUCUGUCUCAUGACUCAUUCUCCACAAACAAUAAUCAUGCUAAAGCACCUAUCGCUAUAGCACAGUAAAACAGCGGAAGAUGCCAAAGGAAGAUGUCUUCAAGGAAAAGAAGGGAAGGAAUGUGAUGGAGGAAACCUGUCAAUUGAGAAGGGAAUGCUUUAGGUGGAAAGUGACCUGUUGUGUUUGUGGAAGCUCUGGAAUCCCACAGGAGAAGGAUCACUCAACACCAUGGCAAUCUGCCAAGUACAACUUGUUCUGAAACACAGUGGCUCUGAGAAGAUGCAUUAUCAUCUGAAACACAAUGUCAUCGUAGUGGGAAGUAGGAUACUAUUGAUUACACUGGUCUACAAUUUUUGAGAAGUCGUCUGCUUCAGAGAUAAAAUGUGAUAUUUAUUAUG
Molecule: long non-coding RNA, 875 nt
Organism: Gopherus evgoodei (Goodes thornscrub tortoise)
Lineage: Eukaryota; Metazoa; Chordata; Testudines; Testudinidae
Exons: 5
Source: RefSeq, a predicted model, not a curated record